GAUAAUUGUGAACAGGAACAGCUAAGGGUAUGAUAAAAGAAGAGUUUAAUAAUGUGAUGAGGUGAAAGAAGACGGAAAAGGUGAAGAUAAUGGAAAAAGGAGUGAAUUGGUAGAAAAGGAAGAGAAGAAAAUAGGAAAGAGGGUGCUUCCAAAUGGCAAAUAGGGCUAGACCAAAAGAAGACAAAAAAUCUAAAAAGGUAAAGGUGAUGAGUUCUGUAUGAUCCAUUUUUUGGAAUACAUGCUUUAGUGCCAUAGCAAGUCCAAUAACCUCAGUUGUUCCUUGAUCCUAAAAUUGAC
Molecule: long non-coding RNA, 297 nt
Filed under: Vigna radiata
Lineage: Eukaryota; Viridiplantae; Streptophyta; Magnoliopsida; Fabales; Fabaceae
Description: long non-coding RNA (VRAD_LNC012346)
Source: RNAcentral